This 290-nucleotide ribosomal RNA is filed under the name uncultured bacterium. RNAcentral describes it as "partial 16S ribosomal RNA". It matches the Rfam family "Bacterial small subunit ribosomal RNA", at positions 773 to 1060 of the family's 1533-position model. The record is from RNAcentral.
GUGGAUUAGAUACCCUGGUAGUCCUAGCCGUAAACGAUGUGAACUUGGCGGCGGUUGGGUAAAACCGAUCGGUGCCGAAGCAAACGCGAUAAGUUCACCACCUGGGGACUACGGCCGCAAGGUUAAAACUCAAAGGAAUUGACGGGGGCCCGCACAAGCAGCGGAGCGUGUGGUUUAAUUCGAUGCUACACGAAGAACCUUACCAGGGCUUGACAUGCAUAUGGUAGUGAAGCGAAAGCGGAACGACCCUUCGGGGAGUAUGCACAGGUGUUGCACGGCCGUCGUCUACU